UAUUUCCUCUUCGUGGCCGAGCAUAAUUACUCUCGCCAGGUAAAUAUGAACUCUCAAGGUGUCUAUUGGUGCCCUCAGAGUGGCUUAAACUGAGUCGUGGAGGAGAUAAGGACUUAUUAAUUGAAAGUAGGAUAUAACCACCCUCGCCGCAAGGGAAGGAAGUUGCGAAGUAGUCCUAUUUAACCCUUUUUUGACCCUUAUUUCCCUCGUGACCGAGCAGUGUUACUUGUGCCAAUUAUAAAUGAACUCUUGAAAUGUCUAUUAGUGUCUUUAACGAAUUUCUAAUGCGAGGUAUAAGGGAAAUAAUGAGGUGUUGAAAUUUGUUUGGUCGUGUGCUGUCCUCGGCUAAUUAGAUGUAGCUUUGAUGUGGUAAUUUAAACCAUUUAGCUCGUUGCAUAUGCACUCAUCGGCCUUGAAAGGAGUCCCAGAAGCCUCGGUGUAACAGUCCACAAGCAGCAACCAGCAAGUGUAGAAAAACAGACCUGAUUCGUAGUAAGAGAAACACUAUCUUGGGUUUUUUCUUAUAGUGGUGUGUGGGGCAAUUAAGUCUUAUCUUGCACGUGUCACAUGAUUUUCCUUGAAGUCUAUUGCUGUAAAAGGCUGACAGAGGGAAGGGCUAGUGAAGGAAAAGAGCCCACUACAAGCUGUCAUGGAGAGAAAAUAAGCCUUGUCAUUUUUGUUUUUCAAUAUGACAAGUGACUGUGUCUAGUGCUGUGAAGAGCUGACAGAGGGAAAGAGCCCGUUGCAAGCUAUCAUGCAGAGAAAAUAACAGGAGGCUUUACAUUCCCUUUCAAGUGUGACAAGUGUCUGAUAAGGAGUUGAUUAAUACAUGUGAUAAACAGCUGGAGUUAUCACUGGUGCCCUGGUGCUGUGAAGAGCUAACAGAGGGAACGGCUAGUGAAGGGAGAGAGCCCAUUACUCACUGUCAUGCAGAGAAAAUAAGACAAGGCCUAUACACCCAAUUUUCAGCAUGACAGGUGACUGAUAAGGAAGUGACUCGUGAGUGAUAAACAACUGGACUUAUCACUGGUGCCCUAGUGCUAACAGGGAUCUGGAUUCUGUGCCAAAAUAUCAACUCAGAUGAGGCUCGUGGAUUUGGAAUAAGCCGGGAAGAGGCGGAGGCAGCUGAGUGAUGCUAGGGAGUGUGGGCGGCGUGUGCAGCGGCCCUGUGUCCUGGUGGUGCAGUGAGGUGCUGCGCUGCUCCCCCAAGGUGGCCCCUGACCCCAGCCCCAGCUCUGGCCUGCCACCCAUGGCGGAGUGUGAACAAUGCAGCACCAGGUUCAACCU
Eriocheir sinensis (Chinese mitten crab) is the source of this 1287-nucleotide long non-coding RNA. RefSeq lists it as uncharacterized. The transcript is spliced from 3 exons. The record is from RefSeq and is a predicted model, not a curated record. Lineage: Eukaryota; Metazoa; Arthropoda; Malacostraca; Decapoda; Varunidae.